Molecule: ribosomal RNA, 253 nt
Filed under: uncultured bacterium
Lineage: Bacteria
Description: partial 16S ribosomal RNA
Rfam family: Bacterial small subunit ribosomal RNA
Source: RNAcentral
UACAGAGGGUGCGAGCGUUAAUCGGAAUUACUGGGCGUAAAGCGUGCGUAGGCGGUUAUUUAAGUCAGAUGUGAAAGCCCCGGGCUCAACCUGGGAAUUGCAUUUGAGACUGAAUAGCUAGGGUACGGUAGAGGGAAGCGGAAUUUCCGGUGUAGCGGUGAAAUGCGUAGAUAUCGGAAGGAACAUCAGUGGCGAAAGCGGCUUCCUGGACCAGUACCGACGUUCAGGCACGAAAGCGUGGGGAGCAAACAGG